UGGUAAUUGUAUUGGAGUUUGUUUGGAAGAGUGAUAUGGUUUGGCUGUGUCCCCACCCAAAUCUCAACUUGAAUUCUAUCUCCCAGAAUUCCCAUGAGUUGUGGAAGGGACCCAGGGGGAGGUAAUUGAAUCAUGGGGGCUGGUCUUUCCUGUGCUAUUCUCGUGAUAGUGAAUAAGUCUCAGGAGACCUGAUGGGCUUAUCAGAGGU
Molecule: long non-coding RNA, 208 nt
Filed under: Homo sapiens (human)
Lineage: Eukaryota; Metazoa; Chordata; Mammalia; Primates; Hominidae
Description: LHRI_LNC2117.1
Source: RNAcentral